RNAcentral lists this ribosomal RNA (253 nucleotides) under uncultured bacterium. RNAcentral describes it as "partial 16S ribosomal RNA". It matches the Rfam family "Bacterial small subunit ribosomal RNA", at positions 524 to 776 of the family's 1533-position model. The record is from RNAcentral.
UACAGAGGUCCCAAGCGUUGUUCGGAUUCAUUGGGCGUAAAGGGUGCGUAGGCGGCGCGGUAAGUCGGGUGUGAAAUCUCGGGGCUUAACUCCGAAACUGCAUUCGAUACUGCCGUGCUUGAGGACUGGAGAGGAGACUGGAAUUUACGGUGUAGCGGUGAAAUGCGUAGAUAUCGUAAGGAAGACCAGUGGCGAAGGCGGGUCUCUGGACAGUUCCUGACGCUGAGGCACGAAGGUCAGGGGGGCAAACGGG